GGGGGUAGUUGAGUUUCUGGUGUGCUCCUCGGUCUUCAAAACCGCUGUUGGGCGUUAAGAGCGUCCUGGGUGGGUUCGAUUCCCACAUGCCCUCGCCA
Molecule: transfer RNA, 98 nt
Filed under: Lachnospiraceae bacterium
Lineage: Bacteria; Bacillati; Bacillota; Clostridia; Lachnospirales; Lachnospiraceae
Description: tRNA-Sec
Rfam family: Selenocysteine transfer RNA
Source: RNAcentral